This 539-nucleotide long non-coding RNA is filed under the name Phoenix dactylifera (date palm). Its description in RNAcentral is "long non-coding RNA (PDAC_LNC021813)". The record is from RNAcentral. Lineage: Eukaryota; Viridiplantae; Streptophyta; Magnoliopsida; Arecales; Arecaceae.
UAACCAUCCAAGACCAAACAUCAUACAUGUUCAACAGUGACAAGAAAAGUACCCGUCUCCACAUUAGCAGGUCAUUGGAGCCAAAUGUGAUUUUAAUUCUCGUGACUGUGAGCAACUUACAUUCUUAGCCCUCACAAAAAUACAUGUAUGUUAUAUUGUAAUUGAAAAUUCUGACACUUAAUACAUCAUAUCCUCCUUAUUUCAUUUCAUGUUCCCUAUGAGCAUUUGUUAUAAAUCUUGUCCCCAUCCUAGUUCCAAUAUUCUCCCAAUUAUUGGACGAUUCUCAUAUUAUUCUCGAUUUUUCUCUUGACCAAAUGGUUAUCUGAAUUAUUCUCUAAAAAUAAAUUGAUCCAAAACUAUUCAAUUUUUCUUGGAUUAUAUGCAGAUAUUAUGGCUUAUCUAUGAAUUAUUUAUGGCUAAUUCAAAACAAUUUAUUUAUGUUGUACAAAGUAAUGAUAUCAUAUAUCAUUGCUAGAGGUGAUUUUUUUUGGCUACCGUUUGUUACUUUUGCCUCUCCUAAUAAGUAAAUAAGUUCAUAA